Anguilla anguilla (European eel) is the source of this 1113-nucleotide long non-coding RNA. RefSeq lists it as uncharacterized. The transcript is spliced from 2 exons. NCBI's taxonomy places the organism in Eukaryota, Metazoa, Chordata, Actinopteri, Anguilliformes, Anguillidae. The record is from RefSeq and is a predicted model, not a curated record.
GUCAGGGGACCGCGAACAGCACGGAGACGCGGCACAAUAAAAAGGCAUAAUUAAGCCAUUCAUUAACACUCGCUUCAAGAGGACCGCAGACACAAAGGAUGACUCAGAUUCCUGAGCCUCUGCAUUACGUCUUGCGCCCUGGACAGGAUAUCACCGUAUACUGUAAGUUCAUUACUGAGACACUACAGUAUAGAUGAUGUACUAUCCAGGGUCCCAUUCCGCCGUCAGAGUGCGGGGGCUGCGCUGCACCAGCAGAAGACUCACAGGGAGUGGCGGUAAAACCGUUACCAUUACUGAGUUUUUAGUAAUGGUAAGGGUUAAACUGCCCCUUCUCCUUCUCGUCCGCAACUGCCAGAACGGGGGGACUACGCACGAUGGCUGACGCGACUUCGACUGCUCAAAGGAACAGUGUUUCCAAUGGGCGACGGGAUUUUCAAAAUAAACAUCUGAGGCCAUAAAUUAUUGGUGCUCUGACAAUUAAUAGUUAAAAUUUUAACGAGUAUGUCCAUUUAAUAUCGUUCAUAAAAAGUUCAAAAAUAUUCAAAUGAUUAUAUUCAGAGGCAUUAUUUGCAACAGUAUUUAUCUGUAUUUUUUGUUGUUGUUUUUUUUACUGUAACUGCUGUGACUUUGGCCCAUACACAAACUACAGAGCUGACAGUAUGAUCUAUUGUGAGCUUGUAUAAUGUAACAAAUAAAAAGGGCUUGGUGCUUGUCAAAAGAUACACUUCACAGAGCAAUGCAAGAACAAAAAUACGUAUAUUACUCAUAUACAUAUAUUAAUACAUAAAUACGUGUAUUACUCAUUCACCGACUAAUGAAUUCUGGACACAGUGCAGUGCACACACUGGACAGUAUUGCGAGUAGGAAAUGUCUAAGUGUAUUAUACAUUAGUAUGUUUAUGGAGGGGCAAGGCUUAAGCAAUGAGAGGUCAUUAAACCUAUAAAAUCCUCGGCCACUUGCCUGGAGGCAUGUUUGGAGGAAAUAAUGACCGCAGUGACUCACUCAUGUGGGAGCGGUACAUGAAUGGGGCUUAAGGUUCAUCUCCAAUGUUCUUUACAGCGUCAUGACAAAAGCUUAUGCAUACAUUAAAAUAAAAGGCAGAUGUAGAAAUCA